This 4282-nucleotide long non-coding RNA is filed under the name Homo sapiens (human). RNAcentral describes it as "non-protein coding lnc-TRIQK-2:1". Lineage: Eukaryota; Metazoa; Chordata; Mammalia; Primates; Hominidae. The record is from RNAcentral.
AGAAAUCAUAAAGGGAAUACUGUUGGAUUAUAACACAUUAAAUUAAAAUCUAACAUGCAGCCUGGUACUCAGUGUUAAUUAAGGAUGUGAAGAAACAAUCUCUUUCAUUCACUGCUUGAGGGAAUGAUAAUCUCACACACUUUCUGGAACGCACUUAUGUUUCAAAAGCUUUACAUUUCAUAUAUACUUUAGAAAUUCGUCUAUAUGUGACAAUGACAGUAGUAUGCAAAAAUGUAUUAACCGCAUCACUGUUUAUGACCAAAAAAGUGAAAGUGAUGUAAAUAUCCAAUUUAGGAGUAGGUGAAAAAGCAGUUAUAAAAUAUUAAUGUGAUGCAAUUCUAUUUUGUUUAAAGAUACUGGUCUCUGUGUGUUUAACUUAUGGGAGGACUAGAAGGAAAAUGUUUUGUUGAACUACAACUUGAGUCCAUAUACCUAGUAGAUCUGUCUGCUAGUUUCCGUUACAUUCUAUAUUCGUUUAUUCAGUAUUCACUCAUUCAUUCUAUAUUUAUUUGUCCGAUAACUCUUGCCCUUCUAGAUGCUAAUAUGUCAUCUGUCACAAUUCCACAGCAAAAGUACUAUGGAAAAAGAUGGGUCUGCUUUAUUCACUGAAAAAUUAAAGAACACUUCAAAAAGGAACUGAUACUUGAGUUUAUUCAUUGUUCAUUCAAGAAAUAUACUUAUUGAGCACUUGCGACAUGCUAGUCACUGUCCUUUGUGCUUGCAACAAAUCAGUGAACCUUAAAAACAAAAACACAACAUACUCCUGUUCUUAUGAUGUAAUCUUGAGAGAUGGUGAUUGUUUCAUCAAACAGAAAAAAAAAAAAAAAGGAUGAGACGGUAUUCCAAGUAGAGAAAGCCACACUUGACUUUAUUUAUUUCACAAUAGUUAUCAAUUUAUUUGUGUGAUUCUCCCACUGGACUCUAAGUUCCUUAAGAAAGGAACUCUGGCUUGUACUGCUGUAUCUCUGAUGCCAAACAUUGUUCCAGACCCAUAAUAGGCACACAGUAAAUAUUUUUGAAUAACUAAUACUAUACUUCAUUCCCUAGAACAGAGUUUCUUGAUGUUGGCAUUAUUGGCAUUUGAGGCCAGAUAAUUAUUUGUUGUGGGUGUCUACCCUGUGCAUUGUAGAAUGUUUAGCUGCAUCACUGGAUGCUAGCAUGCAGCUAGAUGCCAGCAGUACCUCUCCUGCCUGUUAUCAAAACCAAAGAUGUUUCCAGGCAUUUUCAAAUGUCUGUGGGGUCCAGAAUCACCCCUAUCUGUAGAGAAUCACUGUCCUAGCACUGUGAAAUUAAGUGAAAACUAUGGAACAAUUCCAGUGAAUAUAAUGUGGAAAUCGGGAAGAGUAGAAUGAGACUUUCUUUUCAGUUACUUUGAGUCUUUUAUUAGAGGCAUUGUAUUUUAUUUUUUGUCCAAGCACUCUUAAUUCUAUACUGUUUGUUGAUUCAAUUCCUAUACUGACUACCGUGCUUGUGAGAGAUGGGGACAUCACAUGUAAAGAUGAGCGAUGUCUGCAUUUAACCCACCUUGCUGGUCACAUCCCUAGUGGUACUGCAACUUUGUUUUGUUUUCAAAAGAAAGGAGGAAAGACUUUAAGAUGUUGCUUUUAUCAAAUAAAUAAGCUAGUGUUUUUUCAAGAAAUUUUAGACACACUCUAAGACAAAACUCCUAAUGCAGUUUUUUAAUACCUUUUAUAAUGUAGGAUUUUUUAAUACCUAAUAUUUCAUCUUGAAUUGCAAUCCCCAGAUGUUGAGGGAGAGACCUGGUGGGAAGUGACUGCGGUUUUCCCCCUGCUGCUCUCGUGAAGGUCAGUGAAUUCUCGCGAGAUCUGAUGGUUUUAUAAAUGGAAGUUUUUCCUGCCGCUGACACAUGCAUUUCCCUGCUGCUAUGUGAAAUGUGCGUCUUCUCCUUCCGCCAUGAUUGUAAGUUUCCUGAGGCCUCCUCAGCCAUGCGGAACUGUGAGUCAGUUAAACCUCGUUUCUUUAUAAGUUACUCAGUCUCGAGAUGUCUUUAUAGCAGUGUGAGAAUGGACUAAUACAAUAGCUAAAUAAUGCCUUAGAAAUCAAUAUUUAAUUCUUAGUUUUUGAAACUUUACCGCGUAACUUUUUCAUGGAUGCACUAAUCAUGUCUGAUCUCCGUUUUCUCUUCAUUUUGUAAUCUGAAAUGAUUCACAUAUAAAAGAUGCAUAUAUUGUAUAUAUAUCUAUAUGUCAGUGAAAUAAUAAAAUGAAUACCCAUGUAUCCAGAGCCCAGCUUACCAACAUUUGGUAUUGCUUGGCUAUUUUAAUUUUUGCCAUUUUGAAGUGUGUAUAAAGAUAUUUCAUUUAAAAAUUUUUAUUUUCUUUAUUACUGUUGAAAUUGAACAUCUUUCAGUAUACUUUAUCUAUUUAUAUUUUCUCUCUGAAAGCUCUGUUCACAUUUAUUGCACAUUUAAAAAUUUUUUGUGUCUUAAAAAUGAGUAAGAAUUACUUAUAUCUGUAUAUUCUAGUACUAAUCUUCAGGGUUUCAAGUGUGUAUUUGUGUGUCACAAAUAUACUAUUAGAGAUUGUGUCUUCUAUUUUCACUUUCUUUGUGGUAUCUAUUAAUAAAGUUCCUGAUUUUAAUGUAAUCAAACACAUCAAUGUUUGUCAUUUUAAACAAUUAUUGAGAUUUAAAGGAAGGCUUCUUGCCCCAGGGUCAUGAAAAUAUGUUUAUAUUUUUUCUUACAGUGCUUUUGCUCUUACACUUAAGUCUUUAAUCUCAUCUGGCAUUGAUUUUGUACAUGGUGUGAGGUUUAACUUUUUUCCAUUGGCCUACUACUAGCUCAGUGAGGCCUACCCUAAUUACCCAGGGUAAAAUCAUAACUUCUUCACCCACCCUGGGACAUCCCCCUUUACCCUGCUUUAAUUGUCUCUCGAGCACUUCUUGCCACCUGUCACAUUCAUGUUCUAUGUUUCUUGUCCCAGUACCAUUUAUUUGAGUUGCCCCCUCCUUUCCAUACUGACCCCCUUUCCCACCUCAGUCAAACAUCAAGUAUAGAUGCUGUUAUCUGGACUCUGUAUUCUGGCUCAUGAUCCAAAUAUUUCAUUGUUUAUCUCUGUGUAAUCACCACAUUGUCUUAAUAACUGCACUGCUAUAAUGGUCUUAAUAUUAUAGGGCUAGUCCACCACCUCAUUCUGCAGAAGUGACUUGGUUAUUUGUGAUUGUUUAAACUUCUAUCAAAUAUUGGAAAUAGUGUUUCUAGUUCCCUGACAAACCCUGCUAAAAAAUUUUUACUGAAACUCCAUUAAAUCAACUUGGUGACAAUUGUCACAUUUAAUAUAUUCAACCUCCAGCACAGUGAAAAUGGUACCUUUCCCUAAUUAAUUAGGUCUUUUUAAAAAAAUUAUUUAAGCAAAGCUUUAGAAGUUUCUUCAUGAAAGUCUUGUAACUUUUUGUUAGAGUUAUUCAUAGAUUACUUUUAAUAUUUACAUGUGGUAAAUAUUUAUUUUUAAACUAUAUUACCUAUUUGUUGCUAGUGUAUGGAAAUACAAAGGAUUUCUAAUGUUAUAAAAAUAGUAUUAUUAACUAAGUUAUUAAUUCUAAUAAUUAGCCAGAAGAUUCUUUUGAAUUUUGUAUGAGGACAUAACAAUGCAUUCAAGUAAUGAUAAUUUUGUUUCUUACUUUCCAUCUCUAGUAUUGUUUAUUUUCUUCCAUCCUUAGAGUUUGAUCUAAUAAGUUCAGUACCUUAUUGGACAGAAAUGUUGAUGGUGAGCAUCUCAAUCUUGUUCAUGCCAUAUCCUGCAAGUCUUCAUGCAAGUGUCGUCUUCUUAGUGAGGCCUAACCUAUCCCCCAUUUAAAAUUGCAAAUUCCCAAACAUUCUGGGCCUUCCUAGUCCUCUUUAACUGUUUUAUAUUUCUCUGUAGCGAUAUUACCAUCUGACAUAGUCAUAUUUUAUGUGCUGGUUUAUUAUUUAUCUACCACCAUCAUGAGGCAUGGACUGACUUUCUACCUAAGUUAUUUUGAGCAAAUAACUGAAUGAAUAAUGUAUUUUAUACCUUAUACUGCCAAAUUAUUGUUACACAUAGUUUUUCCAUUGAUUCUCUAUGGAUUUCCAAAUGUGCUAUCCUGUCAUCUGUAAAUAAAUAAUGUAAGUUGUUCCUUUCCAAUUUUUAUGUCAUUAAUUGUUACCGCUUAUCUAAGAACAUUGAGUAAUUAGUGCCAUCAACAUAAUGUUAAUGAUUAUAGAGAUAGUGGCCAUCAUUACUCCUGACCUUACUAAGAAUUACUGUGUUUUACUACUAAAUAAAAAUCUGGCUUUACUUUA